GGCCAAGUUUUUAAGGGCGCACGGUGGAUGCCUUGGCACCAGGAACCGAUGAAGGACGUGGGAGGCCACGAUAGGCCCCGGGGAGUCGUCAACCAGGCUUUGAUCCGGGGGUGUCCGAAUGGGGAAACCCGGCAGUCGUCAUGGGCUGUCACCCGCUGCUGAACUCAUAGGCAGUGUGGAGGGAACGCGGGGAAGUGAAACAUCUCAGUACCCGCAGGAAGAGAAAACAACCGUGAUUCCGGGAGUAGUGGCGAGCGAAACCGGAUGAGGCCAAACCGUAUACGUGUGAGACCCGGCAGGGGUUGCGUGUGCGGGGUUGUGGGAUCUCUCUUGAUCAGUCUGCCGGCUGGUCGACGAGUCAGAAACCGUUGAUGUAGGCGAAGGACAUGCGAAAGGUCCGGCGUAGAGGGUAAGACCCCCGUAGUCGAAACAUUAGCGGCUCGUUUGAGAGACACCCAAGUAGCACGGGGCCCGAGAAAUCCCGUGUGAAUCUGGCGGGACCACCCGCUAAGCCUAAAUAUUCCCUGGUGACCGAUAGCGGAUAGUACCGUGAGGGAAUGGUGAAAAGUACCGCGGGAGCGGAGUGAAAUAGUACCUGAAACCGUGUGCCUACAAGCCGUGGGAGCGUCGGACAAGCACUUGUGCUUGUCUCGUGACUGCGUGCCUUUUGAAGAAUGAGCCUGCGAGUUUGCGGUGUGUUGCGAGGUUAACCCGGGUGGGGAAGCCGUAGCGAAAGCGAGUCCGAACAGGGCGCUGUAGUAGCACGCUCAAGACCCGAAGCGGAGUGAUCUAGCCAUGGGCAGGUUGAAGCGGAGGUAAGACUUCGUGGAGGACCGAACCCACCAGGGUUGAAAACCUGGGGGAUGACCUGUGGUUAGGGGUGAAAGGCCAAUCAAACUCCGUGAUAGCUGGUUCUCCCCGAAAUGCAUUUAGGUGCAGCGUCGUGUGUUUCUUGCCGGAGGUAGAGCACUGGAUAGGCGAUGGGCCCUACCGGGUUACUGACCUUAGCCAAACUCCGAAUGCCGGUAAGUGAGAGCGCGGCAGUGAGACUGUGGGGGAUAAGCUCCAUGGUCGAGAGGGAAACAGCCCAGAGCAUCGACUAAGGCCCCUAAGCGUACGCUAAGUGGGAAAGGAUGUGGAGUCGCACAGACAACCAGGAGGUUGGCUUAGAAGCAGCCACCCUUGAAAGAGUGCGUAAUAGCUCACUGGUCUAGUGAUUCCGCGCCGACAAUGUAGCGGGGCUCAAGCGUACCGCCGAAGUCGUGUCAUU
Molecule: ribosomal RNA, 1270 nt
Filed under: Streptomyces olivaceus
Lineage: Bacteria; Bacillati; Actinomycetota; Actinomycetes; Kitasatosporales; Streptomycetaceae
Description: partial 23S ribosomal RNA
Rfam family: Bacterial large subunit ribosomal RNA
Source: RNAcentral